UACGUAGGGGGCGAGCGUUGUCCGGAGUUACUGGGCGUAAAGCGCACGCAGGCGGUCUGCUAAGUUUGGAGUGACAGUUGGUGGCUUAACUGCCAAAGUGCUUCGAAAACUGACAGACUUGAGGGCUUCAGAGGGACACGGAAUUCCGGGUGUAGCGGUGGAAUGCGCAGAUAUCGGGAAGAACACCCGUGGCGAAGGCGGCACUCUGGGACGGUACUGACGCUGAGACGCGAAAGCGUGGGGAGCGAACAGG
This 253-nucleotide ribosomal RNA is filed under the name uncultured bacterium. RNAcentral's name for it is "partial 16S ribosomal RNA". It matches the Rfam family "Bacterial small subunit ribosomal RNA", at positions 524 to 776 of the family's 1533-position model. The record is from RNAcentral.